GGGGGCGACAGGUUUCGACGGCAGGCGGGCGGUUUAAGUGGCAUGUCGAGAACGCCGGAGGGCUCGUUAAAAUGCCGGCACGCCAUAACUGGCACAAACAACUACGCUCUGGCGGCCUAACUUUAGGCGCCAUGUCGUUGUCGGUCUCCGCCUAUCUGGCCGGCAAACGGCAUCGCAACGAUGGGCUGGCCCAGGACCCCGCCCCGGGGAACUGGGCGAGAUCUCAGGGGCUGCUCCCCGGAUGACCGCGUCUAUGCGGGCCCCGGGGAAAAGAUAAAACGUAGACUAAGCAUGUAGAGGCUUAGGCCGUUCCUUGUUCGGACGUGGGUUCGAAUCCCACCGCCUCCACCA
RNAcentral lists this transfer-messenger RNA (351 nucleotides) under bacterium. RNAcentral's name for it is "UBA8901 sp002403115 Standard tmRNA". It matches the Rfam family "transfer-messenger RNA". From Rfam's summary of the family: Bacterial tmRNA, also known as 10Sa RNA or SsrA, is named for its dual tRNA and mRNA-like properties. Its role is to liberate the mRNA from a stalled ribosome. RNAcentral also lists the same sequence under 1 other name. The record is from RNAcentral.